CUCACAGCUCACAGCUGCCGGCUGCGGGCGAGCCCCAGGGCUCUGCAGGCUCCCACGUCUGCCGCCAGCAUCAGGAGCUGGAUGGGAAGCAAAUCUUCCCUGCCAAGCCUCUCUUCAAAAGGACUUACAACCGUGUCUAAGGGCUGAUGGUAAAGACAGGGUAUUUUCCAGGCAGGCCCACGCACUUGUAUCAUGGCAGAUACUCUUGGCCUGGAAACCUGUGUGGCCUGGGGGGACGCCAGCGCUCAGGCUGCCUCACAGCACAGGCAUUUUGACAUUGCUGUUAUUUUCUCUUUCCAGGUACUCCAAAGACAGGUGGUGGCUUAAUUCAGCGCUUAUGGCAACCCGCAGCAAACCUUAGACGGAAUUCCUGACUCGCAGAACAGCGAGCAAACGGGAAAGCUGGACCACAACGGAGCACCACCAGGCCACCCCUCUCCACUCACCCUCUGUCAAACUCGGCCACGUCGCUCAGCUGUCGCCGGUGUUCAAAAUCCACUUCUGGGAGACAGCAGGAAAGAUGAAACACUCGGCAUCCUCACCAGUCCCUGAGGAGGAGAGAUGGCUAGCAGCCACCAGCACCCUUUCUGGACCAAGAUGACGAUGUACCAAGGAAAUUGGUGCUAAACCAUAAAAGGCACCUGACUAGGAAAGGGCAGGAGAAGGAUGGGAAUAUCUGCUCUGCCUGGAGUGGUGAAGAACACUGGUAAGUCCUCAAAAGAAAAUCUGCCUCUGUCCUUCCCCCUC
Long non-coding RNA from Motacilla alba alba, 747 nucleotides. RefSeq lists it as uncharacterized. The record is from RefSeq and is a predicted model, not a curated record. The transcript is spliced from 4 exons. Lineage: Eukaryota; Metazoa; Chordata; Aves; Passeriformes; Motacillidae.